ACCACACACACAUUUUCUACUUCAUAUGUUUUAAAAAUUAACUUGAUUACUUAUAUAAUACGGAGUAUCGGUAAACCCAUAUUUUACCCACAUGGAAUAUGAGUGGGUUGAAACCUAACUCGCUUUUGGUAAACCCAUUUCCAACCUGUCCAAAUCCAACCAAACCCACCCAUUGCCACCACUAGCCACAAUACCUCCGCCUUUGAUGAAAAGGUACGAUAAAAAUGGUUCUUUAUGUUUGACGCUAGGUUCAAAGUAGUCCCUUGAGUUUGUACUGAACAAUUUUGAUCCUUUAAUUGUCUGAAGUUAACACUUUUAGUAGGUUUGACCAUGAAUUUCAAAUAUUUAUAAGUUUCUUUGGAAUUUAUGAAUUCGGAGUUGAAGAUAGAGUGUCGUUUGAUUAUAUUCUGUUGCAAAGGAGAAAAGCGAGCACUUUGUUUGGAAUUAUGAAGGUGGAGUUGGAGAACAGGUUAUAAGCUAUUUUUCAUAUUUAGAAUUCAACUUGAAGUUGGAUUUAAAAUUUUCAUGACCCCACUGAUUUUGAAAUAAAGUGAAAAAUUAUUUCGGAAAAAAAGUGAAUAAUUCCCAUGGCCAAACAGGUCCUAAGUUUCCGUCAAAUAUUUACGGAACUCUAGCACUGAGAAACAUGCUAGGAUCGUCGUUUGGCACUGUCUUUAUAAAUAUGCCCGUCACGAUACCACUGCCCUCGAUGAAAAGGAACAUUUUGAGAAUAUUUAGUAGACAAAUUGAAAUCAUGAUUUGAAAUUAUUUAUUUAGGUGAAGGUUAAUUUGAAGUUGCAAUUGUGUUUAGUCAUAAGUUUUGCAAACAAAACUUGAAAUCAAAUUUUAAUUUUCCUCAUAACCAUGAAAACUCAUAAUUUGUAAAAGUAUUAAAACUUUCCCAACUCCUAUGCAAUAUGAAAAAAACGCUUAAAUUAACGAUUAACAAGGGAUUCCUUGCAGUAGCACCAACUAAUUUUUGGGCGUGUUUGGUGUAAGGGGAAAGUGGCUGGGCAAUGUAGGAGUUGGGUAAUUACUUUUUGUACUACAGAUAGGUCCUUUUUUUUGCAAAAUCUAUCAUUAUGGGCAAAUUUUAAAAUUUUAUUAAGUUUGAAGUCACAAAUUUGAAGUUGAUAUUCUACCUUUAAGGCGAAUUUGGGAUUUGAAAUAAGAAUUUCAAGUUGAAGUUGAAGUUUUAUUCAAAAUGUGAUGAACAGACACAGAUGUGGUAUCAAAGCUUGAAAUUAUGAUCUGAAAUCACAUGUCCAAAUGGCACCUUAUUCAGCACCAUGUACAAUAAAACCUCUCUAUAACGGCGCCGAUAAUUUUUGACUGCUAUAGAGAACAUAUAUCAUAACCUAAUAUGAAAAAAUUUAUUCCAAACAAACUUGACCGUUAUAGUGAAAUAUUGUUAUAGAGGAUGAUUGUUAUAGAGAGAUUUGACUGUAUUUGUACUUGAAAACAAAUUAACCUUACCAGUUAUUUGAACCAAAUAAAAACAAUUAAGCUUAAGGAACACUAAUUAGAGUGAGGAGAAGUGAUAUAAGUUUAUAUAUAAGAUGCUGAUUUGGGGAAAAUGCUUUGUGGGGUUAGUUUACUUUUGUAUUUGUCUAUGGCAAGAUCAGUUUCAACUUUGUCGACCAAUUAUUAGUUUACCCUGAAUUGAUUAUGGUGAUUCCUUGGGAAUAGUGAAUUGAGGGACUUAAAAAAUUUAGCUAUAGGUGGAGGAAUUUGUGAUAAUGGUAGGACAGGAGGAGCAGGUGGAGUUCCAUGGAGGAGCAAUGAAGGCGCCAAAGGUUCUUGCUGACAUUGUGGAGUCAGUGGCAGCCGCUGUAUAUGUCGAUUGUGGCUUUGAUCUGAAGGCUCUCUGGGUGGGUGCAUAGGCGAUGAGAUGCAUGCUGUAGCGCCUUGAUGCCGACACGGAAAUGCCUCCUAUGAAGUGCCUAAGAUGCACGAGAAGAGGGAAUUAUUCCAGGACUUAGUCCCACUACUAUGAAACUCAUUUGGUACUACCGCUGCGCCUCUUACAGGUAAUCUUUGAAGUGUUUCAUUCUAAUUCUUCAAAUUUUAUCCCAUCUGCCAGAUGCUCAUGCAUACUUCCAUCUAUUUGGGGUUUUUAUCUAUCAAGAGGGAGAAAGGAACAGUGUGCUUGUGGGCUCACAUUAAUCCAGUUGACUGUUGCAUAUUGUUCAAAUCCUAUGUAUUGUAGCUUUUGCAUUUCUUGUUAAGACCAAAUUUCUUUCGAUUUCUAUUAUCACUUGGAACAUGUUGCGUAUCUUUGAUUACUUUCAACUGCCAAAUAUUUUCAUACAUGUGCUUUUGGAAUUGUCAUCACUAUAAUUCUUAUGCAGAACAAAUGUCAUAACACCUAACAUAGAAUCAAUUUGAUGUCAGUUUUGUCUAGAUAUCUUUAUGGGAAAAUUUCUAUUUUGUAGUUCAAACAUCAAAUCAAAAACAUUGUCAUUCUGUACUUCGGUUGAUCUUUUAACCGGAGAUCAAGCAAUAGACACCUUUCUUUCUUGCCACUCCCAACAUCCAGAAUGAUACAUAAAAGAAGAAGACAACUUAUAUGCUUGUGGCCUCAUGUCCAUUGGAGCAUUUACUUAAACAAAUGGGUUUUUAUUUAGGGAAGAAAUCCUACAUUUCUUGUGUUAAACUUAUAAUUGAGGAAAAAUAGCCGCUACUGGUGACCUUAACUUGGGUAAUUUCUUCCUACACCGGAGGAGUGAAGAAGACCUGUCGCUUCGCUAUGGUAGCCCCAGGGAGAUCUGUAAGUACUAGAAUAACACUGAGCUUCUGAUCUGGAAGCUUCCCACACACAGGCUGGUCAGAAAAGUAGUGCAGGGCUUCAAGGGUGAUGUUAGAUCCGAGAGCACUUCUGUGGUGGCACACGAGGCUGCAGAGAUAUACUUGGCGGGUCACCAACUUGUUUGCCAUUAAUGCCAGAAGGGUGCUUUAGAGGUGAAAUGGCUUAAUCUUGGUCUCUGUAUUCUUAGUAAGUGUAGUUUUUUAAAACUGAUAUUUAGUGGGGUUUAGUUGCUUUUGCUUGAAUUGCUUAGAAAUGAAAAUCAAAUUCAUCUAAUAUAAAAUUUGGAUAAAGUCUUAGUUCUCAUCUAUCUGCUUUUGUCUCUGUGCUCUCGGAGGAUAAGCAAACUCUACAUUGAAGCCUUGAAGGCUUGAAGCAAGGCUCAAUUUCGUUAUCUUUAUCUUUUUCCUGCAAAGUGAAAAUUGGAUAUGAACAUGAAAGUAUUGGUAACAUGGACUAGACUCGUUUACUAAUGGUGGUUUUAAGUUAUUAUGAUUAAUUUAUGUAUCAACGUCUGCCAAAUCAACAACCAACAAAGAAUCGAUUGCACUUCUCUCGGCUGAGUUGAACACUCGUGAUUUCAGUGAAGUAGAUUAAAUAAGGCAUAUACACAGCUGUAUAAACUGGAACUUCUCAGGUGGAGCAGUGGCGCAAAGGAACCUCCUCUGUUGCAAUUUCUUAUCUUUUAGUUUCAACUACGUGCUGGUCAGGUUUUGUAAUUUCUCCUCAAUUUAGGGAUCCCAGAUUGGAGAAAGUUAGGAUUGUCGGGAUUUAAUGAGGUUAGUCAUGCGGGUAUAUGAAGCUGCAGAUUGUUAAGUUCCUUAAUCCGUCAGGUUUGAGACGCAAAGUGCUGAACUCUUACAUACUUGGAGGAUUAUACUUGUGAAAGGUGAUGCAUGUUGGUUGAAUUGUGACACUCAAUGGACUAUUUUGGUGAAAGAUCAUGAUUUCUACUUUCUCUUGAUUUCACAAAAUACUUCAACAAAAAAUUCUACUCUACGAUGCAUGUUUCAACAACUUUAGUAUGAUGAUAAAGUAGGACUUCUGAUUUGGGUGUGUUUUUACUUUCUUCUAAUCUGAUGAAAUGUUCUAAACUGCAGCUCAUAUUUCUUUGUACUUGUACCCUUUUCUAAAUACAACAAGCAAAUCAAGACCUUUUGAUUAUCUGAGGCUUACCAGCUUAGGUUUCAUUGGUGCCCUUGUGAAGGUAGACGAUACGGAAGCUAUCAGUUUUCUACUACCAACAGAAAUAAUUCCCCCGUGCCUGCGCACAAUGGAGAUGGGCAGUGAACUGUCAAAAACGGUUGAGUGCUUCCUCAAAUCCCUUCUUUUUUCUUCUUGUUGUAAGUGAAUUUUAAGUUGGUCAUAGGAUCAUAAUAUUCAUCAUAUUCUUCAGAUACCAAAAGAAAAGACAACUUAUGCAGCACAAUUAUAAAUUCUUCGUGAUAGAUACCUUUUUUAUUCUACGUCCUGUUUGAUUAUUUCCAGUUACUCCUCACUUAGUGUGUUAAGAGUCAUGCAGACAGGUUGCAGCUUUCAUUGUGCCAAAAAUACUUCUAGAUGACGUGGGUUUGGAUUACAAAUGUGCCACAGCAGAAAGGUUUUUUGCAGUAGGCCGAGUUUUGGGGAAUAUUGUUGGUGCACUUGCUGAACAGCCUUCAUCUUGGUUACUGAAGCACAUAAUUAGGUGCUAUCUUCGAUUGUCAGAUAAUCCAAGGGCAUAUGAUGCACUAAGAAGUGGUCUCCUGGAUAUGCUUACACCUUCAGUAGUUGUCUUCGUAUAUGUACAUUUUCAAUAGAAGUGCUCCAUCUUUUUCUCUUAGCUUGUAGUUUUCUCCCAAUCAAGAAUAUGAAGCAUUCCUCCUGGUUAUUAUAGACCCUUGUUUUUUCUAUCCAGGAUGGGUUCUUUUUCCUUAUGCUCAACAGGAGGACCCUACAACGAGGAGGUGGCUACAGGCAGGAUGAUUUGAUCAUAUGUUGAUGAACUAAGUUGAGACGAUCAUUAAAUCUUGAUUGUGUUGUCCCGGCAGUCUUAGGUGCUUGCUAAGAAUGCAUCUCUUUCAUUGUGAGUCCUCUACAAGCAGUUUGGUGAAGGGGUUUUAAGGUGCUUGCUAAGAAUAUAUCACUUUUGAUCCGAUUGCUAGAAUCUGUUUUGGACAUUUAUAGUGUGAUUUGAGGAUGCCCAACUUGCAAACUUUUUUCGAGCAAGAUGUAUAUAAUUUAUUCACCAGUCUGCAGGUUCAUAUAAUUCUUUGUGGUGGACACAUUGUAGCACAGUGAUUCAAACUGUGCUGCCGGCAUUUUCCUAUAAUUUGUCAACAAUUGAAUCUCUUUUAAUUUUAA
This is a long non-coding RNA of Lycium barbarum (goji berry), 5149 nucleotides long. RefSeq lists it as uncharacterized. The transcript has 5 exons. The record is from RefSeq and is a predicted model, not a curated record. NCBI's taxonomy places the organism in Eukaryota, Viridiplantae, Streptophyta, Magnoliopsida, Solanales, Solanaceae.